Cucurbita maxima (winter squash) is the source of this 3400-nucleotide long non-coding RNA. RefSeq lists it as uncharacterized. The record is from RefSeq and is a predicted model, not a curated record. NCBI's taxonomy places the organism in Eukaryota, Viridiplantae, Streptophyta, Magnoliopsida, Cucurbitales, Cucurbitaceae. The transcript has 3 exons.
GUAAAAAGAUAGCUAUUACAAUUUUUUUUCCCGCUAAUAUGAUAGCUAGUCAAUGUAACAUUAGCUUCCUCACUGGAAAAUCAUCAUUAGUAUCAGGAUUUUAUCCCCCUGUUCAUCUAGAAUCAGAAUAAUGAAGCAAAAGCAGAAGCAUAAUCUCAUACAAUUCCCCUGAAGCAAAAGCAGAAGCAUAAUCUCAUACAAUUCCCCUGAAGCAAAAGCAGAAGCAUAAUCUCAUACAAUUCCCCUUACUUCCCAAACAAGAGUGCAUAGCAUUCAUUGGAACCACUCCACAUAUUGGAAAAUCAGGUGGUGUAUCUUCCUAUAUUUACAUAUUCUUCUAUUUUUCUGAAAUUAUUUUUUAGGAGUUUCUUAUUAACUGAUACUACAGCAUGUGCUAACUGAUUUCAAUUUCAUACAGCGAUUUUGAUUACUAAGUAUGGAGAAGUCUAUAAUUUCCACUGAACUAUAUGUCAAUUCAAUACACUUGAGGAUCAAGUAGUAGUUAGUUAUAGAAUGCUUUGAGCUUCUGCUCAGAAUCCCUCCGGGUUCACGAAUUCCAGAAAAGUGCAGCCUUAAGAGUCAGUUAACACUUUGAGGAUCAGGUAGUUAGUACUCCUCUUCAAGCUUGAGAAGCUGAUCAAAUGUAGUGGAGGGCUUCGUUGGAUGCAUGUUUCCGUACAAAGUUGAGAAUUGGGUGGUUUCUAGUUCUCACCCCCUUCCUCAUUUACAGUCACCACUAAUAUCAAUGUGAUUGUCAGGCGUUUUGACAGUGAUGGAGAAAAGAGAACUGUUUUCAUUCUAUAAUUAAUGCAGAGUUCUUUCUUUUUUCUUUUUCUUCUUUUGCACACCCAUUUAUGAAGGAGUUGGCUGUAAAAUGUUAUAUUUGAGCCCUGAUAUCUAUGAAAGCAGGAGCAUGAUUUAGAUGGGUACAGAAGAACUUAUCUGAACUUGAAGGAACCAUGCACAAGCAUUUUUCAGUGUAGAACCAUUUUAGGUAUGUUCCCUUUUUGAGUUUUUCAUCUAGGGAACCGUUAUUACCAAACGUACCUAACUUAGAUCAGGAAAGAAAUUUUGUGAAUGGCUUGAACACAAAGAUCAGAUACCUCAAAGCAUCUGACCAUGUACAGAUGAGGACAGGAUAGAGAAAAUCUCCAUAAAGGUUGGGAAUUAUGCGUGCUUGAGUUAUGAAAAAGAGGAAUUGUCUUUAUUACUCCAAAAACUUGGGGAAUCAGAUGCCUUUGUUAAUCCUCCUUGUGAACGGUCUACCCCUAUUAAUGAGCCCAUUAAUAGUGCUUUGCUUGUCGGAUUGCUGUUCAAUCCUCCUUGCACGUUACGUUAGGCUUAAGCAUGUGAGCCUAUGCAUCUGGAUGUGCGUAUGUGCAUACCUAUGAGAUUAUUUGCGUGCACGCAUGUUUUGUACCAUGUGUUCAUGUCAUAUUGCUGUCAGCUCAUGGGAGUUUCAUACUUUAUGUUUGCCAUGUCUUCUUGCUUUUGCCUUGUUUUGUCGUGCAUGUCUUCCUGCCUACUCGCCAACAAUGAUUGUGUGCUAAGCAGGAUGGUAACCAUGCCCCUUCACGAUCGUGGAUUGCCGACCACCCAUCAACAUCCAAGGUAUGUUUAGUCCCUUACCACCUUUGUCUACUUGUCUGCCUUGUCUUUUGCUCUUUAGUGUGUUGCCCCACCACACCGUGUCACUAACUCAUGUAAGUCCCAUCUUGCAUGUUUCAAGAUCGAGAUCUCCUAACAAACCUCCUUCCCUUGAGCCUGUCAAUGCCUUCAUUGGAUCUAUCCUCAACUAGCACUCAUAUCUAGUCUUCAAAUUGUCAGUGUCACAUCUCUAUCCCAAGAAAGCUCUAUGUCAUCUUCGCCUUUCCAUUUUACCAAGUAAUCAGUCCGUUGACAAUUGUUUAAUGGCCAAGGAUUUUCUCAACCUUCCUCUCAAAACACUUUUUAAUCAUAGUUGGAACUCGCCUUGUUUGUUUUUGAUCCUGGUCAAUUUUCAACUUGUUGGGAAGUUUCAGAUGAUAAGCCACGUUGUGCACUUGUUUGAUCACUUCAAAGGGUCUGUCAUACCUCAACACUAAGGCUUUUGUGCACUUUGUGCACACUUGUUGCAUAGUUUCUUCCACAUAUGCCGACUCACCUAAACUGUAUGAGUGCUUCUUCCUUGAAGUCCAAGGUCGUCUCCAAGUUGUCUCAAGUUAAGUCCAUUUUCUACUUAUCACCAACAAAAUGAUAAGCAGGCUGGACACCUUCUUCCUCAUGUGUUGUUUCCUUACCUCUUAAGGACAUAGAGUAUUGAGUAUUCCUCAUGUGUCGUUUUGUUACCUCUUAAGGACAUAGAGUAUUGAGUAUGUUGUUCUGUCACUAAUUUUGAAAGAAAAAGGAAGGGAAAUUGUCCCACAUCACAUCACUUAGGUUGAGAAGGGGUGAAUUGACCUCUACUAUAAAAGGGAGGUCUCUUGCUUCAUUUCAUCAUCCCACUUGCACGGUUUGAAGCCAAACAAAGAACACACUUUCUGACAGCUUUUGGCCGGCAUUUCGGUUGAUUUGGCUUGGAUCUGGUAUACUCGAAUUUUUUCCUAUUAGUUUUAGCUCUUUGAAAGUGCUUAAGGUUAGUAUAACUACCUUUUAGCUAGUUUAAAUUAUUUUAUGCAAACUUAGGUUCAAUUAUUUCAAAGAGCAGUGUUAAGUCGGCAUCAAGCAUCAAGGGGUCAUAGUAACUUCGGCCUAGGCCAAUCAAUGGAAACUUGGUGUUAAUGCCUUGGAGCCCAGUAGCGCUGUCACUGCCUCCAUUAACACCCGGUUCUUUGUGAGGCCUGGAAUAUUACCUAGGAGGUAACUCAGGAAUCAAACAUUCCUUAAUUCAUUCUCGUUCACCGUCAGUCAAUACUCAAGCAAGAUUCAUUCUCCUUACUUAACUCCUAUUCAUUCUUGACUCAUUGCCUGAUUUCUUUCUCGUCAGGUUCAGGAGCUCUGUUCUGUCUAAUUCUUGAGGAAAAGAGGAUAGGUUCAGGCAAUGGAAUUGUUCAACCGAGUUGGAGAGGUGAAUGAGUUUACAUUUACGCUUGGUGAGUCUAUUUGUUUAAAGCCUAUUUACUUAUAACUGACGAGCUCUGAUCUUUUAUAUAUUUUUCCAGUAGUAAUUCUAGGUACUAUUGCAUGUAACGUGGGUUUAGCGGUUCUAGAACCAUCAAUGAUUGGUGAACUCGCAGAUCCAUUUGCAACUCCUUUGGAAAUAUUGCCCGCCGGCGGCGGACUCAAGUGCCCCCAGAACCGUGCGAAAUGGUCGCAUUAGCGGAUUCAUUUUCUGUGGUUUCCCUGAUCAAACUAGAAGUUACCAAGGAACCAUGCAUAGCACUGAAUAGGGAGCCGCCGAAUACACCAGCUACACCUAACA